GAUGAACGCUGGCGGCGUGCCUAAUACAUGCAAGUCGAGCGAACAGAUGAGGAGCUUGCUCCUCUGACGUUAGCGGCGGACGGGUGAGUAACACGUGGAUAACCUACCUAUAAGACUGGGAUAACUUCGGGAAACCGGAGCUAAUACCGGAUAAUAUAUUGAACCGCAUGGUUCAAUAGUGAAAGACGGUUUUGCUGUCACUUAUAGAUGGAUCCGCGCCGCAUUAGCUAGUUGGUAAGGUAACGGCUUACCAAGGCAACGAUGGGUAGCCGACCUGAGAGGGUGAUCGGCCACACUGGAACUGAGACACGGUCCAGACUCCUACGGGAGGCAGCAGUAGGGAAUCUUCCGCAAUGGGCGAAAGCCUGACGGAGCAACGCCGCGUGAGUGAUGAAGGUCUUCGGAUCGUAAAACUCUGUUAUUAGGGAAGAACAAAUGUGUAAGUAACUAUGCACGUCUUGACGGUACCUAAUCAGAAAGCCACGGCUAACUACGUG
This 497-nucleotide ribosomal RNA is filed under the name uncultured bacterium. RNAcentral's name for it is "partial 16S ribosomal RNA". It matches the Rfam family "Bacterial small subunit ribosomal RNA", at positions 28 to 507 of the family's 1533-position model. The record is from RNAcentral.